AAUAGAUACCCCGGUAGUCCACGCCGUAAACGAUGGAUGCUAGCUGUUAGGAGUAUCGACCCUCCUAAUAGCGUAGCUAACGCGUUAAGCAUCCCGCCUGUGGAGUACGGUCGCGAGACUAAAACAUAAAGGAAUUGACGGGGACCCGCACAAGCGGUGGAGCGUGUUGUUUAAUUCGAUGGUAAGCGAAGAACCUUACCCAGGCUUGACAUCCUGCUAAUCACUCCGAAAGGAGAGAGUGCCUUCGGGCCGCAGUGACAGGUGUUGCAUGGCCGUCGUCAGCUCGUGUCGUGAGAUGUUUGGUUAAGUCCAUCAACGAGCGCAACCCUUAUAGUUAGUUGUAUUUCUCUAGCUAGACUGCCCUGGCAACAGGGAGGAAGGAGGGGAUGAUGGUCAGGUCAGUAUUACCCUUACGCCUGGGGCUACAAACACGCUACAAUGGCCGGUACAAAGGGCAGCCAACCCGCGAGGGGGAGCAAAUCCCAUCAAAGCCGGUCUCAGUUCGGAUUGCAGGCUGAAACUCGCCUGCA
This 530-nucleotide ribosomal RNA is filed under the name uncultured bacterium. RNAcentral's name for it is "bacterial SSU rRNA". It matches the Rfam family "Bacterial small subunit ribosomal RNA", at positions 777 to 1320 of the family's 1533-position model. The record is from RNAcentral.